UACGAAGGGGGCUAGCGUUGCUCGGAAUCACUGGGCGUAAAGCGCACGUAGGCGGCUUGUUAAGUCAGGGGUGAAAUCCUGGAGCUCAACUCCAGAACUGCCUUUGAUACUGAAGAUCUUGAGUUUGGGAGAGGUGAGUGGAACUGCGAGUGUAGAGGUGAAAUUCGUAGAUAUUCGCAAGAACACCAGUGGCGAAGGCGGCUCACUGGCCCGAUACUGACGCUGAGGCACGAAAGCGUGGGGAGCAAACAGG
This 253-nucleotide ribosomal RNA is filed under the name uncultured bacterium. RNAcentral's name for it is "partial 16S ribosomal RNA". It matches the Rfam family "Bacterial small subunit ribosomal RNA", at positions 524 to 776 of the family's 1533-position model. The record is from RNAcentral.